Molecule: ribosomal RNA, 253 nt
Filed under: uncultured bacterium
Lineage: Bacteria
Description: partial 16S ribosomal RNA
Rfam family: Bacterial small subunit ribosomal RNA
Source: RNAcentral
UACGUAGGGGGCUAGCGUUGUCCGGAUUUAUUGGGCUUAAAGAGCGUGUAGGCGGUCCGGUAAGUCCGCUGUGAAAGUCGGGGGCUCAACCCUCGAAUGCCGGUGGAUACUGUCGGGCUAGAGUGCGGAAGAGGCGAGUGGAAUUCCUGGUGUAGCGGUGAAAUGCGCAGAUAUCAGGAGGAACACCUAUUGCGAAGGCAGCUCGCUGGGACGUAACUGACGCUGAGACGCGAAAGCGUGGGGAGCAAACAGG